Molecule: non-coding RNA, 73 nt
Organism: Stegodyphus mimosarum
Lineage: Eukaryota; Metazoa; Arthropoda; Arachnida; Araneae; Eresidae
Source: Rfam
GCCUUCGUGGUGUAAUUGGAAGCAUACUUGAUUGGCAUUCGAGAGGUCCAGGGUUCGAGUCCCGAUGAGGACA